RNAcentral lists this ribosomal RNA (252 nucleotides) under uncultured bacterium. RNAcentral's name for it is "partial 16S ribosomal RNA". It matches the Rfam family "Bacterial small subunit ribosomal RNA", at positions 524 to 776 of the family's 1533-position model. The record is from RNAcentral.
UACGGAGGAUGCGAGCGUAAUCCGGAUUUAUUGGGUUUAAAGGGUGCGUAGGCGGACUGUCAAGUCAGCGGUAAAAUUGAGAGGCUCAACCUCUUCCCGCCGUUGAAACUGGUGGUCUUGAGUGGAUGAGAAGUACGCGGAAUGCGUGGUGUAGCGGUGAAAUGCAUAGAUAUCACGCAGAACUCCGAUUGCGAAGGCAGCGUACCGGCAUCCAACUGACGCUGAGGCACGAAAGCGUGGGGAUCAAACAGG